This 89-nucleotide transfer RNA is filed under the name Heterodermia speciosa. It matches the Rfam family "tRNA". From Rfam's summary of the family: Transfer RNA (tRNA) molecules are approximately 80 nucleotides in length. Their secondary structure includes four short double-helical elements and three loops (D, anti-codon, and T loops). Lineage: Eukaryota; Fungi; Ascomycota; Lecanoromycetes; Caliciales; Physciaceae. The record is from Rfam by way of RNAcentral.
GCUUCCUUGGUCCAAUGGUUAGGAUUCCACCCUUCCAAGCUUCAAUGCAAGAUUAGGUGGAGGUUCGAGUUCAAUUCUCGAAGGUUGCA